GCUGCCGUAGCUCAGUCGGUAGAGUGCGUCCUUGGUAAGGACGAGGUCGUGGGUUCGAAUCCCACCGGUAGCU
This 73-nucleotide transfer RNA is filed under the name Planctopirus hydrillae. RNAcentral describes it as "tRNA-Thr". It matches the Rfam family "tRNA". Rfam says of the family: Transfer RNA (tRNA) molecules are approximately 80 nucleotides in length. The record is from RNAcentral. RNAcentral also lists the same sequence under 1 other name. Lineage: Bacteria; Pseudomonadati; Planctomycetota; Planctomycetia; Planctomycetales; Planctomycetaceae.